CUAGCUUACGUGGAGGCGCUGGUGGGAUACUACCCUAGCUGUGUUGGCUUUCUAACCCGCACCACUUAUCGUGGUGGGAGACAGUGUCAAGCGGGCAGUUUGACUGGGGCGGUCGCCUCCUAAAAGGUAACGGAGGCGCUCAAAGGUUCCCUCAGAAUGGUUGGAAAUCAUUCAUAGAGUGUAAAGGCAUAAGGGAGCUUGACUGCGAGACCUACAA
This 217-nucleotide ribosomal RNA is filed under the name Staphylococcus aureus. RNAcentral describes it as "partial 23S ribosomal RNA". It matches the Rfam family "Bacterial large subunit ribosomal RNA", at positions 2171 to 2387 of the family's 2925-position model. Lineage: Bacteria; Bacillati; Bacillota; Bacilli; Caryophanales; Staphylococcaceae. The record is from RNAcentral.